GCGUUGAUGGUGUAAUGGUUAGCAUUGCUGCCUUCCAAGCCGUAGAUCUGGGUUCGAUUCCCGGUCAACGCA
RNAcentral lists this transfer RNA (72 nucleotides) under Dendronephthya gigantea. RNAcentral describes it as "tRNA-Gly". It matches the Rfam family "tRNA". Rfam says of the family: Transfer RNA (tRNA) molecules are approximately 80 nucleotides in length. Their secondary structure includes four short double-helical elements and three loops (D, anti-codon, and T loops). Further hydrogen bonds mediate the characteristic L-shaped molecular structure. tRNAs have two regions of fundamental functional importance: the anti-codon, which is responsible for specific mRNA codon recognition, and the 3' end, to which the tRNAs corresponding amino acid is attached (by aminoacyl-tRNA synthetases). tRNAs cope with the degeneracy of the genetic code in two manners: having more than one tRNA (with a specific anti-codon) for a particular amino acid; and 'wobble' base-pairing, i.e. permitting non-standard base-pairing at the 3rd anti-codon position. Lineage: Eukaryota; Metazoa; Cnidaria; Anthozoa; Malacalcyonacea; Nephtheidae. The record is from RNAcentral.